AGCAGCCGCGGUAAUUCCAGCUCCAAUAGCGUAUAUUAAAGUUGUUGCAGUUAAAAAGCUCGUAGUUGAAUUUCGGGAUUGACGUGAUGGUCAUGCCUUAAGGGGUAUGAACUGUCGCUGUUGAUUUCUCACCUUCUGGAGAAACUUGAUGUCCUUAAUUGGGUGUCUUGCGGAUCCAGGACCUUUACCUUGAAAAAUUAGGGUGUUUAAAGCAGGCAUUUUUGCUCGAAUACAUUAGCAUGGAAUAAUAGAAUAGGACGGCAUGGUUCUAUUUUGUUGGUUUCUAGGAUCACCGUAAUGAUUAAUAGGGAUAGUUGGGGGCAUUAGUAUUCAAUUGUCAGAGGUGAAAUUCUUGGAUUUAUUGAAGACUAACUACUGCGAAAGCAUUUGCCAAGGAUGUUUUCAUUAAUCAAGAACGAAAGUUAGGGGGUCGAAGACGAUCAGAUACCGUCGUAGUCUUAACCAUAAACUAUGCCGACUAGGAAUCAGACGAUGUUAAUUUUUAAUGACUCGUUUGGUA
Molecule: unclassified non-coding RNA, 520 nt
Filed under: uncultured Entrophospora
Lineage: Eukaryota; Fungi; Glomeromycota; Glomeromycetes; Entrophosporales; Entrophosporaceae
Description: SSU rRNA
Rfam family: Eukaryotic small subunit ribosomal RNA
Source: RNAcentral